This 478-nucleotide ribosomal RNA is filed under the name uncultured bacterium. Its description in RNAcentral is "partial 16S ribosomal RNA". It matches the Rfam family "Bacterial small subunit ribosomal RNA", at positions 28 to 523 of the family's 1533-position model. The record is from RNAcentral.
GACGAACGCUGGCGGCGUGCUUAACACAUGCAAGUCGAACGGUAAGGCCCUUCGGGGUACACGAGUGGCGAACGGGUGAGUAACACGUGGGUGAUCUGCCCUGCACUUCGGGAUAAGCCUGGGAAACUGGGUCUAAUACCGGAUAGGACUCCUGGCUUCAUGGUUGGGGGUGGAAAGCUUUUGCGGUGUGGGAUGGGCCCGCGGCCUAUCAGCUUGUUGGUGGGGUAAUGGCCUACCAAGGCGACGACGGGUAGCCGGCCUGAGAGGGGGACCGGUCACACUGGGACGGAGAUACGGCCCAGACUCCUACGGGAGGCAGCAGUGGGGAAUAUUGCACAAUGGGCGCAAGCCUGAUGCGGCGACGCCGCGUGAGGGAUGACGGCCUUCGGGUUGUAAACCUCUUUCAGCUAUGACGAAGCGCAAGUGACGGUAGUAGCAGAAGAAGGACCGGCCAACUACGUGCCAGCCGCCGCCGUAA